This 722-nucleotide ribosomal RNA is filed under the name uncultured bacterium. RNAcentral describes it as "bacterial SSU rRNA". It matches the Rfam family "Bacterial small subunit ribosomal RNA", at positions 67 to 780 of the family's 1533-position model. The record is from RNAcentral.
GGUANCAGGAUUUAGUUUACUAGAUUGCUGACGACCGGCGCACGGGUGAGUAACGCGUAUACAUUUGCCUUUUACUGAAGAAUAGCCCAGAGAAAUUUGGAUUAAUGCUUCAUAGUAUUAUUUGGUCACCUGGCCGAGUAAUUAAAGCUCCGGCGGUAAAAGAUGAGUAUGCGUCCUAUUAGCUAGAUGGUAAGGUAACGGCUUACCAUGGCGACGAUAGGUAGGGGUCCUGAGAGGGAGAUCCCCCACACUGGUACUGAGACACGGACCAGACUCCUACGGGAGGCAGCAGUGAGGAAUAUUGGGCAAUGGAGGCAACUCUGACCCAGCCAUGCCGCGUGCAGGAAGACUGCCCUAUGGGUUGUAAACUGCUUUUAUACAGGAAGAAACUUACCCACGUGUGGGUAACUGACGGUACUGUAAGAAUAAGGACCGGCUAACUCCGUGCCAGCNGCCGCGGUAAUACGGAGGGUCCAAGCGUUAUCCGGAAUCAUUGGGCGUANAGGGAGCGCAGGCGGGUUAAUAAGUGUCUUGUGAAAGCCUAUGGCUUAACCAUAGAACUGCAAGACAAACUGUUAACCUGGGAGUUUAGAAGAGGUAACUGGAAUUGGUGGUGUAGGGGGUAAAAUCCGUAGAGAUCACCAGGAAUGCCAACGNGAAAGCAAGUUACUGGGAUAAUACUGACGCUGAGGCACGAAAGCGUGGGGGAGCAAACAGGAUUA